UACAUGGGGUGCAAACGUUGCUCGGAAUUAUUGGGCGUAAAGCGCACGUAGGCGGUUCGUUAAGUCGGAUGUGAAAGCCCUCGGCUCAACUGAGGAAGUGCACCCGAAACUGGCGAGCUUGAGUACGAAAGAGGAUCGCGGAAUUCCCGGUGUAGAGGUGAAAUUCGUAGAUAUCGGGAGGAACACCGGUGGCGAAGGCGGCGAUCUGGGUCGAUACUGACGCUGAGACGCGAAAGCGUGGGGAGCGAACAGG
RNAcentral lists this ribosomal RNA (253 nucleotides) under uncultured bacterium. RNAcentral describes it as "partial 16S ribosomal RNA". It matches the Rfam family "Bacterial small subunit ribosomal RNA", at positions 524 to 776 of the family's 1533-position model. The record is from RNAcentral.